This 497-nucleotide ribosomal RNA is filed under the name uncultured bacterium. RNAcentral describes it as "partial 16S ribosomal RNA". It matches the Rfam family "Bacterial small subunit ribosomal RNA", at positions 28 to 507 of the family's 1533-position model. The record is from RNAcentral.
GAUGAACGCUGGCGGCGUGCCUAAUACAUGCAAGUCGAGCGAACGGACGAGAAGCUUGCUUCUCUGAUGUUAGCGGCGGACGGGUGAGUAACACGUGGAUAACCUACCUAUAAGACUGGGAUAACUUCGGGAAACCGGAGCUAAUACCGGAUGAUAUUUUGAACCGCAUGGUUCAAAAGUGAAAGACGGUCUUGCUGUCACUUAUAGAUGGAUCCGCGCUGCAUUAGCUAGUUGGUAAGGUAACGGCUUACCAAGGCAACGAUGCAUAGCCGACCUGAGAGGGUGAUCGGCCACACUGGAACUGAGACACGGUCCCGACUCCUACGGGAGGCAGCAGUAGGGAAUCUUCCGCAAUGGGCGAAAGCCUGACGGAGCAACGCCGCGUGAGUGAUGAAGGUCUUCGGAUCGUAAAACUCUGUUAUUAGUGAAGAACAUAUGUGUAAUUAACUGUGCACAUCUUGACGGUACCUAAUCAGAAAGCCACGGCUAACUACGUG